AUGGAGGGGCUCCUGCACAAGCUCAAGGGGCUCGACGCCUACCCCAAGGUCAACGAGGACUUCUACAAGCGCACGCUCUCCGGCGGCGUCGUCACGCUCCUCUCCGCCCUCGUCAUGCUGCUCCUCUUCGUCUCCGAGACCAGGUCGUAUUAUUAUUCAGCAACCGAGACUAAGUUAGUGGUAGACACAUCAAGAGGAGAAAGGCUAAGAGUAAAUUUUGAUAUUACUUUCCCGAGUAUUCCUUGCACCCUUCUCAGUGUUGAUACAAGGGAUAUUAGUGGCGAGCAGCACCAGGACAUUAGGCAUGACAUUGAAAAGAAAAGAUUGGACUCACAUGGUAAUGUCAUUGAAUCAAGAAAAGAGGGCAUUGGUGGAACAAAGAUCGAGAAACCAUUGCAAAAACAUGGUGGAAGGCUUGGCAAAGGCGAGGAAUAUUGUGGCACCUGUUAUGGUGCGGAGGAGUCAGAUGAACAAUGCUGUAAUUCAUGUGAAGAAGUUAGGGAGGCCUACAAGAAGAAAGGGUGGGCUCUUACAAACCCUGACCUAAUCGACCAGUGCGCUAGAGAGGACUUCGUUGAAAGAGUUAAAACCCAACAUGGUGAAGGCUGUAGUGUCCAUGGCUUUCUAGAUGUUAGUAAAGUUGCUGGAAAUUUCCACUUUGCGCCAGGCAAAGGAUAUUAUGAAUCAAAUGUAGAUGUGCCUGAGCUGACUGCUGAAGGAGGUUUCAAUAUUACUCACAAAAUAAACAAACUGUCCUUCGGGACAGAAUUCCCUGGUGCUGUCAACCCACUUGAUGGUGCUCAGUGGACACAGCCCGCAUCAGAUGGGACAUACCAAUACUUCAUAAAAGUCGUCCCUACAAUUUAUAAUGAUAUAAGAGGGCGCAAGAUCGAUUCAAACCAAUUCUCAGUAACGGAGCACUUUAGAGAUGGAAAUGUUCAACCGAGACCCCAACCCGGGGUAUUUUUCUUCUAUGAUUUCUCACCUAUAAAGGUGAUAUUCACAGAGGAAAAUAGAUCCUUCCUCCACUACCUGACAAACCUGUGUGCUAUAGUUGGAGGGAUCUUCACUGUCGCGGGCAUCAUCGACUCGUUCAUAUACCAUGGACAGAAGGCACUUAAGAAGAAAAUGGAGAUAGGCAAGUACAGAUGA
Molecule: ribosomal RNA, 1152 nt
Filed under: Triticum aestivum (bread wheat)
Lineage: Eukaryota; Viridiplantae; Streptophyta; Magnoliopsida; Poales; Poaceae
Description: partial small subunit ribosomal RNA
Source: RNAcentral